Molecule: long non-coding RNA, 1478 nt
Filed under: Salvia miltiorrhiza (redroot sage)
Lineage: Eukaryota; Viridiplantae; Streptophyta; Magnoliopsida; Lamiales; Lamiaceae
Description: long non-coding RNA (SMIL_LNC000413)
Source: RNAcentral
AAAAGUCUUAAAAAUACACCCAAAUUUUCAUAGAUUUUUAAAAGUCUUAAACGAAUACACCCAAAUUUUAAAACCUGAUCGAAUACACCCCACUUCAUUGUGAAUUCAGCAUUUACCAAUUGAUCAGCAAACUACUCGUUUCAUUCAGUUCAAAUUCCUCUACAGAACUCCAACUUUUCAGUUCAAAUUCCUCUACAGAACUCCAACUUGAUUUUCUCUACAUAUGUCCUCUACAGAACUGCAAUCGGUAAUCUCAUUAUUUCUGUAAAAUUUUCAUCCCCUUUAUUUCAUCACAAUUAUUUCUCAAUUAGAGUUUAUGCAGAAAUUCUCAUUCUCGAAUUCAAACACCAACAUCAUCAAUCCACGCACAUAAAAUAGCUCACAAUUUACAAUUCAUCACCAUUGAAAAGAAAGAAAUUCAAAUAAAUAAAAAUAGAAUAAAUUUUACUAAUUUCACAGAGAAGGAAUUCAGAAAUAGGGGGUAAGGGAACGACUGUUAUCAAAUCGGAAAAGUAAAGGGAGGGGGAGUUGGACGGCGGCGGCGUUGCUGCUGCACUGUUGACGGCCGAAGAAGACAGGCAAAGAGGUAGUGGCUUCGGCGUUCUUCGUCGAUGGCCGUCUGGCUGAGAAAGCGAGAGAAGAGAGAGAGGCCGAGAAUUGAGAGGCGGCUGGGCAGCGCCAGAUCUGGAAAAGGGAAGAGCGGCGGCGUAGUGGUGUCUGCCGCCUAUUUCCGGCAGGAACAGAGAGCGAUAGAUAGAAACAGAGAGAGAGAGAUCAGGAGAAUGAGAGAGGGGAGAGAAGGCAGUGGCCGUGCCGCUGGCCGGCGGCAGGUGCCGAGUGAGAGGGGGGUCGGUCGAGAGAGAGAAGAGAGGCUGUAUUGAGUUCUGUGUGUGUGCUGAAAGUGCGUUUAGUGUGUGUCAAAUUAGGUUAAAUGAUAGUGGGUAUUUUUUUAAUUUUAAUUUUAAUUUUAGGGGUAAGUUUGUCAUUUAAUGUAAAAACAGGCUAUUAUUUAAUUUUUUUUAUUUGAGCAGUUAAAUUUUAAUUUUACUAUCCUAAAGUAGCUAAUUUGAUAUAUUGACUCUAUUAGAAAUGUCAUUUGUAAUAUAAAUAUAGUAUCAUUUAUUAAUGCAAAUAAUAUUUUUUAUUAAGAAAAACUGUGUCAAAGAAAAAAUAAGAAAAAUAACGAAAAAAGAAAGAGAUGAAGAAAAAAAACAAUUUAAAACUAUAAAAAGAGUCCAAAAAGAAAAAGUUAAAACCGAUAUAAUUUAAUAAAAAGAAAAGAAGAAGAAGAAGAAGAAAAAAACGAAAAAACAAAAAAGAGAAGAAAAAAAAUGAUUUUAAAUAAAUACGCGGCAAACAGGCCGAAUAUGCAAAUCAAGAUCAAUGAUAGCACUAUAAUCAUUAGACAAGCUAAGCGUCCGAUGAUGAUGCGUUGUGAAGUGUCAUAGAAAAAAUGUGUCCCACGUCUUGCAUGAAAC